This 538-nucleotide ribosomal RNA is filed under the name Hepatozoon canis. RNAcentral describes it as "bacterial SSU rRNA". It matches the Rfam family "Eukaryotic small subunit ribosomal RNA", at positions 469 to 1002 of the family's 1831-position model. Lineage: Eukaryota; Apicomplexa; Hepatozoidae. The record is from RNAcentral.
GACAAGAAAUAACAACAAUACAAGGCAGUUAAAAUGCUUUGUAUUGGAAUGAUAGAAAUUUAAACCCUUUUUAAAGUAUCAAUUGGAGGGCAAGUCUGGUGCCAGCAGCCGCGGUAAUUCCAGCUCCAAUAGCGUAUAUUAAAAUUGUUGCAGUUAAAAAGCUCGUAGUUGAAGUUCUGCUAAAAGUAACCGGUCUGCUUUGAAUAAAAGUGGUAUCUUGGUAUGUAUUUAGCAAUGAUGUCCUUUGAAGUGUUUUUUACUUUAUUGUAAUAAAGCAUAUUCAGGACUUUUACUUUGAGAAAAUUAGAGUGUUUCUAGCAGGCCAACGCUUUGAAUACUGCAGCAUGGAAUAAUAAGAUAGGAUUUUAGUUCUACAUUAUUGGUUUUAAGAGCUAAAUUAAUGAUUGAUAGGGACAGUUGGGGGCAUUUGUAUUUAACUGUCAGAGGUGAAAUUCUUAGAUUUGUUAAAGACAAACUACUGCGAAAGCAUUUGCCAAAGAUGUUUUCAUUAAUCAAGAACGAAAGUUAGGGGAUCGAA